GACAGAGGGUGCAAACGUUGUUCGGAAUUACGGGGCGUAAAGCGCGUGUAGGCGGCCCUGUAAGUCGGGUGUGAAAUCCCACGGCUCAACCGUGGAAGUGCAUUCGAAACUACAGGGCUAGAGUUCUGGAGAGGAAGGUGGAAUGCUUGGUGUAGAGGUGAAAUUCGUAGAUAUCAAGCGGAACACCGGUGGCGAAGGCGGCCUUCUGGACAGUAACUGACGCUGAGACGCGAAAGCGUGGGGAGCAAACAGG
RNAcentral lists this ribosomal RNA (253 nucleotides) under uncultured bacterium. RNAcentral describes it as "partial 16S ribosomal RNA". It matches the Rfam family "Bacterial small subunit ribosomal RNA", at positions 524 to 776 of the family's 1533-position model. The record is from RNAcentral.